GUAAAAGCGGGCCGGGAAGGGAGGAAGCGGCGCUGAGGGGAGAGAGGGGCGGAAUGCGCGGCGCUAAAGGAGCCUGUAGGCCAGGCAAACUCCUCUUAUACAAGUAAUGUCACCUGAGUUAAGUUUACGAAAGGCGAGGAAAAAAUUAAAAGACACAAAAGACAGUGGGAGUGGGACGAGAGGCAAGACGAGCACGCUGAUCAGAACGGGAAGGGAAGGGCGGAAGGGAGUUGUGACAGCAUCGAUCAACAACUGCCACACCAUUUUUCACUUGAUUGUAUAAAUUCAGUUUAUUUCAGCUUUUA
Long non-coding RNA from Pseudopodoces humilis (Tibetan ground-tit), 305 nucleotides. RefSeq lists it as uncharacterized. Lineage: Eukaryota; Metazoa; Chordata; Aves; Passeriformes; Paridae. The record is from RefSeq and is a predicted model, not a curated record.